UUAUUGAUGAGAAACAUCCCACAUCGGAUAUAUAAGAAUUAAUCUACUACUAUAUAAAGGAUUAGGGCCAAUCCACUAAUUGCCAAUUGGUUUUAAGUUGGAAGCCCAUAAUAAACCCGAAUCUAACAUGGUAUCAGAGCGAUAAGAUCCUUUGACCUAAUUUACUACUACUACUGUACCGAUGUUGGGCCCUCUGUGGAUGUUAUUCCCACAUUGUCCACGCUUCAGACCUAGAUGUCUGAGCGUGAGGGAGGGUAUUGAUGAGAAACAUCCCACAUCGGAUAUAUAAGAAUUAAUCUACUACUAUAUAAAGGGUUAGGGCCAAUCCACUCAUUGCCAAUUGGUUUUAAGUUGGAAGCCCAUAAUAAACCCGAAUCUAACAAAAU
This 386-nucleotide long non-coding RNA is filed under the name Brassica rapa (field mustard). Its description in RNAcentral is "long non-coding RNA (BRAP_LNC004546)". The record is from RNAcentral. Lineage: Eukaryota; Viridiplantae; Streptophyta; Magnoliopsida; Brassicales; Brassicaceae.